RNAcentral lists this ribosomal RNA (484 nucleotides) under uncultured bacterium. Its description in RNAcentral is "partial 16S ribosomal RNA". It matches the Rfam family "Bacterial small subunit ribosomal RNA", at positions 29 to 523 of the family's 1533-position model. The record is from RNAcentral.
AGUGAACGCUGGCGGCGUGCUUAACACAUGCAAGUCGAACGAGAACGGAUUAUAGCUUGCUAUAAUUGUCAGCUAAGUGGCGCACGGGUGAGUAAUGUAUAGGUAAUAUGCCUCUUACUAAGGGAUAACAAAUGGAAACGUUUGCUAAUACCUUAUACUCCUUAUUAACAUAAGUUAAUAAGGGAAAGAUUUAUUGGUAAGAGAUUAGCCUGUAUUGUAUCAGUUAGUUGGUGGGGUAAUGGCUUACCAAGACUAUGACACAUAACUGGUUUGAGAGGAGGAUCAGUCACACUGGAACUGAGACACGGUCCGGACUCCUACGGGAGGCAGCAGUGGGGAAUAUUGCACAAUGGACGGAAGUCUGAUGCAGCAACGCCGCGUGGAGGAUGACACAUUUCGGUGCGUAAACUCCUUUUAUAUGAGAAGAUAAUGACGGUAUUAUAUGAAUAAGCACCGGCUAACUCCGUGCCAGCCGCCGCAGUAA